GUUCGAGUCUUGUCAGAAUAUAUACUAACGUCGUCACAGUAGCAUGGCCCCUGCACUAAGGAUGACACGCUCAAUCAAAGAGAAGCUACCAAUUUUU
This 97-nucleotide small nuclear RNA is filed under the name Colletotrichum orbiculare MAFF 240422. The record is from RNAcentral. Lineage: Eukaryota; Fungi; Ascomycota; Sordariomycetes; Glomerellales; Glomerellaceae.